Chinchilla lanigera (long-tailed chinchilla) is the source of this 2820-nucleotide long non-coding RNA. NCBI's taxonomy places the organism in Eukaryota, Metazoa, Chordata, Mammalia, Rodentia, Chinchillidae. The record is from Ensembl.
CAGCCCGCCGCCGCCAUGGCCGCCCGGCCGCUCACCGAGGAGGCCUUCCACAGCCGGCCGCAGUCACGCUGCCCGCGACUAGGCCCCGUUAGGGGCGGAAGACGAGGGAGGCGGGCGGCCGCGUCGGCCCGAUAGGGGCUUCGCGGCGUGAGCGAACAGCUGCAGCCCGCAAGCGCGCCCCUACCCCGUGCUAGAGCCUAGCGCGCGCCCCGCGGCCGCCGGGACACUCCGCGCUCGCCGGGGCGGGCAGGAAGCGGCCGAGGAGAGGGACGGGCUGGAGAGGUCGGAGGUCAGCCGCAAGGCAUCGCGGGACGGCGGCCCCGGUGGAGGCGCUCGCCGGGGCCGCCUGCGACUGCGGCGCGGCUUCAGGCGGAGGGAUCUGGGCGAAGGAGGAGGCCGGCAGUGCACCAUAUUCCACUCCAGAGCCAGGAAACAAUGCUCAAAGAGAGGACCAGAGCACCCCACAAAGUGAAACGAAGCCAUUCUCGGUGCCAGCGAGGUCCCAAGCUCCUUGGAGGAUGAAAACUGCCAAGUUCAUCAGGAAAGCCAGCAUGACGAGCUCCUCCAAAACAACUAAGAGCUCCCCACAGCUUCUCUCAGCUCCCAACAGCCUCUCUCAGCUCCCAACAGUCUGCCUCUUAUGCUGCUGGCAACAGUCCUCAGGUGGGCCUCCCACACCCAGCACCACACUUACUCAGUUUAGCUGCGGGUUAUAAGUUGACCACCAGUUAUCAACCCACUACAAGCCCUGUCUUUGAGUUUUAUAUUUUGUGUAACCCCCAUACUUCUUCUUCUUUUUUUUUUUUUUUUUUGUCUUUUUGAGACAGGAUCUCGUUAUGCAGUUCAGGCUGGCCUUGAGCUCACUUUGUAGCCCAGGCUGGUCUUGAACUCGCAACGGUUCUCCUACCUCAGCAUCCCUAAUGCUGCGAUUACAGGCAAGCACCACAUGCCAGUGUAUGACUCCCAUACUUAUGCACAGUAAUAAAUAUAUAAUGGUGGCUAGGGGUGUAACUCAGUGGUAGAGUUCAUGCUUAGCAUGCAUAAGGUCCUGGGUUUCAUUCACAGUUCAAAAGAGAAUAAAGUAAAUGAGGCAUGCUUCUCUUUUGUUUAUCCAUCUUUUGUUGUAGGGCUAUUUGCCAUGACUCUUUAUCAUAGGCAGGAAGCAGAUUAUCCCUUUUUCACCUCCACAGAAAGAUAUUAGGUUUAUUUCCCUUGUCCUUUUAUAUCUUUAUUAAUUUUCUCUUUUUCCCCCCUCCAUUCUACUCUUCUGUGCCCCUGUGCUAUCAAUCACAACCAAAUCUUCAUCUCUUCUCAUGGACAAAUGCAGUGACUUCCUAAGUGAUCUUCUAUCCUUGUUUUUCAUCAACCCCACAUUCUCCAGCAUAGCUCUUUCUAAAUACAAAUCUGGAGAGUCCCACUCCAGGGAAAAUGGAGUAGGCAAUAUUUUUUGCAUGUUGCUGUCACUAAGUACAACUGAAAAUCUUGCGCAUAAGAAAACUGAAAUGGAGAGAAGGAGGCAAAGUGGCUAAGUACCUCAGGAUCCGAGGACUGGCAUCUGAGUGGGCUCCUUGGGUUUCUCUUUAAAAAAUUUUUUUUCAGUACCGGGGAUUUUUUGUGUGUGUGGUACCAGGAAUUGAACUCACGACCUCGUGCUUGCCAGGCAGGUGCUGUGCCACUGAGCUAAAUCCCCAGCCCCAGUACUGGGGAUUAAACCUAGGGCCUAUGCACUGAGCUAUGCCCACAGAUAAUUUUAUAUUUUAAUUCAAGGCAAGGGGCUAAUUCACUAAGUUAGCUAGGCUGUGCUCGAACUUGUGACCCUUCUGCCUCAGCUUCCCAUAGUACUGGGAUCCCAGGUGUGCACCACCACCUCUGGCCCUGGGUUUUCUUUUAGCUUCAGUGUCCAGAAGCUGGCCAAUUGGAAAAAUCAACAAGCACAGAUUAAAAACAAUACAAAAUCCCCUAAAAAAGAAAAGCUGUUCUCCACCAAAGGAUCAGGAAAAGGGCAGCAUACCAAAACAGACCCCUUUUAAACAGCAACUAGUAUACUUUGCUGGACAAGGGAGAAAAAUCAGUGUCCUCCACCCAUCCACUCCAGGAAAGGCUUCGGAUGAAAACACCCGGGAGCGGCAUGUGGUUAAUGAGGUAAGACCUCAGGGUAGGAUUUCACAACCUGGCGGAAUAGCAGGGAGCAUCACUUGGUGAUGCAACUAAGCAAAACAUCUGAGUGCUGGCCACAGCCAGAGUGAUGUGGGUUGUAGGGAGGGAGGUGAGGAGGGACUAAUGAAGCCCAGAUGGAGUGUGCUGGUCUGUUUCCAUUCACGGCCAGGCUCAUCCUCUACAGGAGGAGAAAGUUGGCAUAUGAUGGGUCACUGUUGUGAGAUCUGGGAAAUCUGCGUUUGCUGGCUGGUUUUCUGAAGAGUAAAAAGAAAGGAAGGAGGGGAAGAAAAGGGCAGAACAAAUGAAAAACUAUGUUUUGUUCAUCUUUAUAACCAGACAUCUAGGGAAGUAUGGUCGUGUGUGUUCCGUAUCCAGAUGGAACAGCUGACGCUCAGCGAGAUUAAAUGACAGCAUGGCUAAGAAAAGGUAAAGCCCCUGUCCGGAUGAAAUUAAACUGAUUCCAAAGCCCAUUCCUAAACACAGGGACACAUCCAAAAAAGGAGGAAUCUUCACCAUUGUGCUGAUACAGCUAACAUAGUGACAAACUAUGUGACAAAAUAUGUUUAGUCUCAUCAGACCAUUCUAUGAUAAAAGUUAGUGUCCCCUCCUUGGAAUAUCCUUAUUUUAUAGCAGUAGACCCUUGAACAGAAAGACAAGUCUCCU